This is a non-coding RNA of Stygiomarasmius scandens, 94 nucleotides long. The record is from the annotation of a GenBank genome assembly. Lineage: Eukaryota; Fungi; Basidiomycota; Agaricomycetes; Agaricales; Campanellaceae.
ACACCGUUGGUGAAGUGGUUAUCAUGCUUGCCUUCCAUCUAGAUCUCGAUAAGCGGUGAAGCAAGCGGCUCGGGUUCGAUUCCCGAACGGUGUA